This 253-nucleotide ribosomal RNA is filed under the name uncultured bacterium. RNAcentral's name for it is "partial 16S ribosomal RNA". It matches the Rfam family "Bacterial small subunit ribosomal RNA", at positions 524 to 776 of the family's 1533-position model. The record is from RNAcentral.
UACAGAGGUCUCAAGCGUUGUUCGGAAUUACUGGGCGUAAAGGGUUUGUAGGUGGCUUGCUAAGUCAGACGUGAAAUCCCUCAGCUUAACUGGGGAACUGCGUCUGAGACUGGUGAGCUUGAGUGCAGGAGAGGAACGCGGAAUUCCAGGUGUAGCGGUGAAAUGCGUAGAUAUCUGGAGGAACACCGGUGGCGAAGGCGGCGUUCUGGACUGCAACUGACACUGAGGAACGAAAGCCAGGGGAGCAAACGGG